Molecule: transfer RNA, 75 nt
Filed under: Luoshenia tenuis
Lineage: Bacteria; Bacillati; Bacillota; Clostridia; Christensenellales; Christensenellaceae
Also listed under: 1 other name
Description: tRNA-Cys
Rfam family: tRNA
About the family: Transfer RNA (tRNA) molecules are approximately 80 nucleotides in length.
Source: RNAcentral
GGCGCUAUAGCCAAGUGGUAAGGCAAAGGUCUGCAAAACCUUCAUUCCCCGGUUCGAGUCCGGGUGGCGCCUCCA